Molecule: ribosomal RNA, 186 nt
Filed under: Triticum aestivum (bread wheat)
Lineage: Eukaryota; Viridiplantae; Streptophyta; Magnoliopsida; Poales; Poaceae
Description: partial small subunit ribosomal RNA
Source: RNAcentral
AUGAAAAUCAAUGUCGACAAAUACUUGAUAUCAGCAUUAGUGGAACGUUGGCGGCCCGAGACAAAUAGUUUUCACAUACCUGUUGGAGAAAUGACUAUUACACUGCAAGACGUCGGUUGUUUGUGGGGGCUGCCUAUCCAUAGUAAACCACUUGUUGCCAUAGCUAAUGUGCCAUGGUUGGUUUAG